Molecule: ribosomal RNA, 399 nt
Filed under: Triticum aestivum (bread wheat)
Lineage: Eukaryota; Viridiplantae; Streptophyta; Magnoliopsida; Poales; Poaceae
Description: partial small subunit ribosomal RNA
Source: RNAcentral
AUGGAUAUCUUCCGACUGGAAUCUCGCGUUGCAUCCGUCGUGGAUUAUCUCGCAAGGCUGAAGGCCGCCACAUCUCGCAUCGACUCGACGCUCUGGCCUGAGGAGACACUUCAGAAUGACCUUGAGUCAUUAAUGGCCCGCUUGAACACGAUCCCUGGUCGAGUGCAGGAAUGGAAGAAGUCAUCAGCUCGGUGUGGUGCAGAUGUUGCUCUGUGUCUGGCCCGAGUCCACUGCAAGGAUGCACGAGAGGAGAAGCUGGCGGCUCUUCGGGUGGCCAAUACCAAGAAGCACGACUUCAGGUCCUUCAUGGAGACUUUCCUUGCAGCUGCCACUCGGAUCGCCGACGGAAUUGACCUUGAUGAAUUCGUCGCACCUUCCAGCCCUCCACAGGAGGGGUAA